Molecule: ribosomal RNA, 460 nt
Filed under: uncultured bacterium
Lineage: Bacteria
Description: partial 16S ribosomal RNA
Rfam family: Bacterial small subunit ribosomal RNA
Source: RNAcentral
CCUACGGGUGGCAGCAGUGAGGAAUAUUGGUCAAUGGCCGUAAGGCUGAACCAGCCAAGUAGCGUGAGGGAAGACUGCCCUAUGGGUUGUAAACCUCUUUUAUGCGGGGAUAAAGGUGUCCACGUGUGGAUGUUUGCAGGUACCGCAUGAAUAAGGACCGGCUAAUUCCGUGCCAGCAGCCGCGGUAAUACGGAAGGUCCGGGCGUUAUCCGGAUUUAUUGGGUUUAAAGGGAGCGUAGGCGGGUCUUUAAGCGUGCCGUGAAAUUUUGUGGCUUAACCAUGAGAGUGCGGCGCGAACUGGAGACCUUGAGUGCGCGGAAGGCAGGCGGAAUUCGUGGUGUAGCUGUGAAAUGCUUAGAUAUCACGAAGAACCCCGAUUGCGAAGGCAGCCUGCCGCAGCGUUACUGACGCUGAAGCGCGAAAGCGCGGGUAGCGAACAGGAUUAGAUACCCGUGUAGUU